AUGGGCCCACUUGAUAUUCUGAAUUUUUUGAAGAAGCGCUCCUGAAUCUAUCCUGAUGUUGUUAUUGCAUACAGAAUUUUGUUAACCAUUCAUGUGACGAUUGCAUCUGUCGAAAGGAGCUUUUCUAAACUGAAGUUUGUUGAAAUCCUAUUCAUGUGA
RNAcentral lists this ribosomal RNA (159 nucleotides) under Triticum aestivum (bread wheat). RNAcentral's name for it is "partial small subunit ribosomal RNA". Lineage: Eukaryota; Viridiplantae; Streptophyta; Magnoliopsida; Poales; Poaceae. The record is from RNAcentral.